Molecule: small RNA, 531 nt
Filed under: Oryza sativa Japonica Group (Japanese rice)
Lineage: Eukaryota; Viridiplantae; Streptophyta; Magnoliopsida; Poales; Poaceae
Description: sRNA Os06g0167125
Source: RNAcentral
AAAAACAAAUAAUUACAUUGAACAAUAUCAUGAUACAACACAUUCCUUUGCUGCCUGAAAUGAGGGGGAGGCUGAAAAUUUUAGUUAUCCUCAAGUGAUAUACAGCACCAUAUGAAUACAUUUUGCCAAAACUGAAGAUGUAGCAUUAAUUGCUGCCGGCUACUAUACAAUAUAGAAAGGAAGAAUGAAUGGCCAAAACCAGCUAAGUCGUGUACAUAACUCACUAGAAGGCAAGCAAAAGGGGAAGAGCAGAAAAAAGUAAAAAGAAAAACUCGCCUUUGCUUGCAGCAGUUGGAAGAGCUAUCACAACAUUAUAGACACAGGUCAAACUACAAUCCAGCAGGAAAAUUGUUGAUUUGCCCUUGCUCCAGCCUGUCCUCACCGUUCACUUUGUAAGUUAUCCGGAUACGCAUCGCAAGGGGUUUCUGUCCAUGUUGGUUAUUUGUGACACUGAGGCUUUGUGUAACAGAAUCAUUUCCACUGGCAGGAAGCGUGUUGCUGCUAGCGGGGUCCAAACGCAACUGGAUAAAC